RNAcentral lists this ribosomal RNA (808 nucleotides) under Oceanobacillus sp. SCULCB HVA-11. RNAcentral describes it as "bacterial SSU rRNA". It matches the Rfam family "Bacterial small subunit ribosomal RNA", at positions 52 to 826 of the family's 1533-position model. Lineage: Bacteria; Bacillati; Bacillota; Bacilli; Caryophanales; Bacillaceae. The record is from RNAcentral.
UACAUGCAAGUCGAGCGCAGGAAGUUAUCUGAUCCUCUUUUAGAGGUGACGAUAAUGGAAUGAGCGGCGGACGGGUGAGUAACACGUAGGCAACCUGCCUGUAAGACUGGGAUAACUCGUGGAAACGCGAGCUAAUACCGGAUAACACUUUUCAUCUCCUGAUGAUAAGUUGAAAGGCGGCUUUUGCUGUCACUUACAGAUGGGCCUGCGGCGCAUUAGCUAGUUGGUAAGGUAAUGGCUUACCAAGGCGACGAUGCGUAGCCGACCUGAGAGGGUGAUCGGCCACACUGGGACUGAGACACGGCCCAGACUCCUACGGGAGGCAGCAGUAGGGAAUCUUCCGCAAUGGACGAAAGUCUGACGGAGCAACGCCGCGUGAGUGAUGAAGGUUUUCGGAUCGUAAAACUCUGUUGUUAGGGAAGAACAAGUGCCAUAGUAACUGAUGGCACCUUGACGGUACCUAACCAGAAAGCCACGGCUAACUACGUGCCAGCAGCCGCGGUAAUACGUAGGUGGCAAGCGUUGUCCGGAAUUAUUGGGCGUAAAGCGCUCGCAGGCGGUUCUUUAAGUCUGAUGUGAAAUCUUACGGCUCAACCGUAAACGUGCAUUGGAAACUGGGGAACUUGAGUGCAGAAGAGGAGAGUGGAAUUCCACGUGUAGCGGUGAAAUGCGUAGAGAUGUGGAGGAACACCAGUGGCGAAGGCGACUCUCUGGUCUGUAACUGACGCUGAGGAGCGAAAGCGUGGGGAGCGAACAGGAUUAGAUACCCUGGUAGUCCACGCCGUAAACGAUGAGUGCUAGGUGUUAG